GUAUUAAGAUUGAAAACUGAAGCCUGAGUUGAGAAAACCUGAAGGCGAAAUCGAGGAGGACUACAAAGAAAAACAAUUCAGCUGCCACACUUGAUUCAGAGACAGUUUUGUCAAAAGUCAAAGAGAAAUAGGAAGGAACUUCUAAGAGAAGUAUUCCUAAAAGGCAAGAACAUGCUUACAGAGAGACAGUAUACAUUUGUGGAGCUGAAAUUUACUAAGCUGGCUCUUUGCGACCCAAAAUAUUCAAGUAAGAAUCCCACGGCUUUGUUUUGACCCUAC
Balaenoptera ricei (Rice's whale) is the source of this 279-nucleotide long non-coding RNA. RefSeq lists it as uncharacterized. The transcript is spliced from 3 exons. The record is from RefSeq and is a predicted model, not a curated record. NCBI's taxonomy places the organism in Eukaryota, Metazoa, Chordata, Mammalia, Artiodactyla, Balaenopteridae.